UGCAUAAUGAUUUAUGGACAUUUGCCCUAAAAAUUGUGCGGGAAUAUGAAGCAGCUGUUCAAGAGCUUGGCUUUGGUUUUGCUAACAAGAAGCAGAUAGCUGUGGUUAAUGAAAAACAACUGCUAAUAGAUAAUUCCAGUUUAGCUUUGAAGUAUAUUUCCAGUAUUGUCAAUACAUACAGUGACUGAAAUACAGGUCUAGAACCUGGAUACCCACUUCACCCCCUUCCUCUCCUCAGAUUCCUCCCUCGGGGAUGGACUUUAUGGGGAGAUAGCACCGGGAGGCAAUCCGGGAGAGUGUUGCAUGGGAGGGGCCUGCAUCCUGUUCUGGCUGGUGGUAAUAAAAUAUUAGCACAAUGGCAUAGACAGUAUAGUUUGUAAGAAGCUAGGAAGAAGAGAACAAGGAUCAGCAUAGAUCUGUGAUAGUUCCGUUGUUGACUGUCUCUCCUUUACUGCUCCACCAGCCUAAAACAUUAGGAUGCUGAUUAUGGGGCCUCUACGAAGUGAAUUCCACCCAAGAACACCAGGCGGAAAAAUCCAUUCCUGACUGCAGUGGUGAAGUGGAUGCAUGGAAUCCCCAGCAAGGUCCUGGCAGGCAAGUCCUUGUUGGCCCCAAUAAAUCAAUGAUGGUGGCGGGAGACUCACUCCCUCCACGGGCUCCGCAUAAGCCAGAGCACGCAGUGGCAGACAAAGGAGGGUGAAACCAGCAUGUGUGUGCCUCUCAUAAAUGCUUUCCCUAUGUUCAUAAAUUGUCAUUUAAUUUUAAUAACAACCAAUUAGAAGAUGAUUGUGAAACCAUUAAACAGAUGAAUAAACUGAGGCUACCAGAGAUUAUGUCUUUCCCCAGGCUAUACUGCUGGUGGGUAAUCAAGCCAGGAUUACUACCCAGAUUUGUCCGACUGCAAUACUCAUAUUCUUUUUACCAGGCACCGUGCAAAGUGGUGUGCAUGUAUUUUCUCAUUUAAUCAUGAUAAAAAUCCUCAAAGAUGGAUAUUAGCAUCUCAGAUUUACAAAUAAAGAAACUGAAGCUUUGCAGAAUUCAUUAACUUGCCUGAGUUCUUGCUGUUAUGAAGUGGCAGAGGGCACUCCAACCCAAUCUCACUCCAGAGUCCAC
RNAcentral lists this long non-coding RNA (1113 nucleotides) under Homo sapiens (human). RNAcentral describes it as "HSALNT0135882". The record is from RNAcentral. Lineage: Eukaryota; Metazoa; Chordata; Mammalia; Primates; Hominidae.